CAAGAGUCCACAUCGACGGGGAGGUUUGGCACCUCGAUGUCGGCUUAUCGCAUCCUGGGGCUGUAGUCGGUCCCAAGGGUUGGGCUGUUCGCCCAUUAAAGCGGUACGCGAGCUGGGUUCAGAACGUCGUGAGACAGUUCGGUCCCUAUCCGUCGUGGGCGUAGGAAAUUUGAGAGGAGCUGUCCUUAGUACGAGAGGACCGGGAUGGACGCACCGCUGGUGUACCAGUUGUUCUGCCAAGGGCAUAGCUGGGUAGCUAUGUGCGGAAGGGAUAAGUGCUGAAAGCAUCUAAGCAUGAAGCCCCCCUCAAGAUGAGAUUUCCCAUAGCGU
This 330-nucleotide ribosomal RNA is filed under the name Pseudomonas fluorescens. Its description in RNAcentral is "partial 23S ribosomal RNA". It matches the Rfam family "Bacterial large subunit ribosomal RNA", at positions 2493 to 2822 of the family's 2925-position model. The record is from RNAcentral. Lineage: Bacteria; Pseudomonadati; Pseudomonadota; Gammaproteobacteria; Pseudomonadales; Pseudomonadaceae.